UGAGGAAUAUUGGGCAAUGCCCGCAAGGGUGACCCAGCAACGCCGCGUGGAGGAUGAAUGUCGUAAGAUUGUAAACUCCUGUUAGAGGGGAAGAAUAGUACCGGUUGGACCGGUAUAUGACUGUACCCUCAGAGAAAGCGCCGGCUAACUACGUGCCAGCAGCCGCGGUAAUGCGUAGGGGGCAAGCGUUGUCCGGAUUUACUGGGUGUAAAGGGCGCGCAGGCGGGAUAAAAAGUCAGUGGUGAAAUCCUACAGCUUAACUGUAGAACGGCCUUUGAUACGUUUAUUCUUGCGUCCGGGAGAGAGAGACGGAAUGCCAGGUGUAGUGGUGAAAGACGUAGAUAUCUGGAAGAACACCAGUUGCGAAGGCGGUCUCUUGGUCCGACACUGACGCGGAGGCUCGAAAGCGUGGGGAGCAAACA
This 422-nucleotide ribosomal RNA is filed under the name uncultured bacterium. RNAcentral's name for it is "bacterial SSU rRNA". It matches the Rfam family "Bacterial small subunit ribosomal RNA", at positions 355 to 774 of the family's 1533-position model. The record is from RNAcentral.